Molecule: ribosomal RNA, 274 nt
Filed under: uncultured bacterium
Lineage: Bacteria
Description: partial 16S ribosomal RNA
Rfam family: Bacterial small subunit ribosomal RNA
Source: RNAcentral
AUACAGAGGGUGCGAGCGUUAAUCGGAAUUACUGGGCGUAAAGCGCGCGUAGGCGGUUAUUUAAGUCAGAUGUGAAAUCCCUGGGCUCAACCUAGGAACUGCAUCUGAAACUGGGUAACUAGAGUUUAGGAGAUGGGAGUAGAAUUUCGGGUGUAGCGGUGAAAUGCAUAGAGAUCCGAAGGAAUACCAGUGGCGAAGGCGACUCCCUGGCCUAGAACUGACGCUGAGGUGCGAAAGCGUGGGUAGCAAACGGGAUUAGAUACCCUAGUAGUCC